AAAAUGGAGAGUUUGAUCCUGGCUCAGGAUGAACGCUGGCGGUCUGCUUAACACAUGCAAGUCGAACGGGACCUUUCGGGGUCUAGUGGCGGACGGGUGAGUAACGC
RNAcentral lists this ribosomal RNA (107 nucleotides) under Phormidium tenue FACHB-886. Its description in RNAcentral is "partial 16S ribosomal RNA". It matches the Rfam family "Bacterial small subunit ribosomal RNA", at positions 1 to 116 of the family's 1533-position model. The record is from RNAcentral. Lineage: Bacteria; Bacillati; Cyanobacteriota; Cyanophyceae; Oscillatoriales; Oscillatoriaceae.